AUUGAACGCUGGCGGAAUGCUUUACACAUGCAAGUCGAGCGGCAGCGCGGGGCAACCUGGCGGCGAGCGGCGAACGGGUGAGUAACAUAUCGGAACGUAUCCAUAAGUGGGGGACAACCUAGCGAAAGUUAGGCUAAUACCGCAUACGCUCGAGAGAGGAAAGUGGGGGAUCGCAAGACCUCACGCUUUAGGAGCGGCCGAUAUCAGAUUAGCUAGAUGGGAGGUAAAGGCUUACCAUGGCGACGAUCUGUAGCUGGUCUGAGAGGAUGAUCAGCCACACUGGGACUGAGACACGGCCCAGACUCCUACGGGAGGCAGCAGUGGGGAAUUUUGGACAAUGGGGCAACCCUGAUCCAGCCAUUCCGCGUGAGUGAAGAAGGCCU
This 383-nucleotide ribosomal RNA is filed under the name uncultured bacterium. Its description in RNAcentral is "bacterial SSU rRNA". It matches the Rfam family "Bacterial small subunit ribosomal RNA", at positions 30 to 417 of the family's 1533-position model. The record is from RNAcentral.